RNAcentral lists this non-coding RNA (24 nucleotides) under Cricetulus griseus (Chinese hamster). Lineage: Eukaryota; Metazoa; Chordata; Mammalia; Rodentia; Cricetidae. The record is from RNAcentral.
CAUUGAGAAGGCAUGUGCGGACGA